This 503-nucleotide ribosomal RNA is filed under the name uncultured bacterium. RNAcentral describes it as "partial 16S ribosomal RNA". It matches the Rfam family "Bacterial small subunit ribosomal RNA", at positions 30 to 523 of the family's 1533-position model. The record is from RNAcentral.
AUUGAACGCUGGCGGCAGGCUUAACACAUGCAAGUCGAGCGGGGGAAGGUAGCUUGCUACUGGACCUAGCGGCGGACGGGUGAGUAAUGCUUAGGAAUCUGCCUAUUAGUGGGGGACAACAUCUCGAAAGGGAUGCUAAUACCGCAUACGUCCUACGGGAGAAAGCAGGGGAUCACUUGUGACCUUGCGCUAAUAGAUGAGCCUAAGUCGGAUUAGCUAGUUGGUGGGGUAAAGGCCUACCAAGGCGACGAUCUGUAGCGGGUCUGAGAGGAUCAUCCGCCACACUGGGACUGAGACACGGCCCAGAAUCCUCCGGGAGGCAGCAGUGGGGAAUAUUGGACAAUGGGGGGAACCCUGAUCCAGCCAUGCCGCGUGUAUGAAGAAGGCCUUAUGGUUGUAAAGCACUUUAAGCGAGGAGGAGGCUCUUUUGGUUAAUACCCAAGAUGAGUGGACGUUACUCGCAGAAUAAGCACCGGCUAACUCUGUGCCAGCCGCCGCGGUAA